Molecule: ribosomal RNA, 511 nt
Filed under: uncultured bacterium
Lineage: Bacteria
Description: bacterial SSU rRNA
Rfam family: Bacterial small subunit ribosomal RNA
Source: RNAcentral
AGCAGAGAUGCUUUAGUGCCUUCGGGAACUCUGAGACAGGUGCUGCAUGGCUGUCGUCAGCUCGUGUUGUGAAAUGUUGGGUUAAGUCCCGCAACGAGCGCAACCCUUAUCCUUUGUUGCCAGCACGUAAUGGUGGGAACUCAAAGGAGACUGCCGGUGAUAAACCGGAGGAAGGUGGGGAUGACGUCAAGUCAUCAUGGCCCUUACGAGUAGGGCUACACACGUGCUACAAUGGCGCAUACAAAGAGAAGCGACCUCGCGAGAGCAAGCGGACCUCAUAAAGUGCGUCGUAGUCCGGAUUGGAGUCUGCAACUCGACUCCAUGAAGUCGGAAUCGCUAGUAAUCGUAAAUCAGAAUGUUACGGUGAAUACGUUCCCGGGCCCUGUACACACCGCCCGUCACACCAUGGGAGUGGGUUGCAAAAGAAGUAGAUAGCUUAACCUUCGGGAGGGCGUUUACCACUUUGUGAUUCAUGACUGGGGUGAAGUCGUAACAAGGUAAGCGUAGUGCU